This 154-nucleotide ribosomal RNA is filed under the name Erpetoichthys calabaricus (reedfish). Its description in RNAcentral is "5.8S ribosomal RNA (ENSECRG00000010611.1)". It matches the Rfam family "5.8S ribosomal RNA". From Rfam's summary of the family: 5.8S ribosomal RNA (5.8S rRNA) is a component of the large subunit of the eukaryotic ribosome. It is transcribed by RNA polymerase I as part of the 45S precursor that also contains 18S and 28S rRNA. Functionally, it is thought that 5.8S rRNA may be involved in ribosome translocation. Lineage: Eukaryota; Metazoa; Chordata; Cladistia; Polypteriformes; Polypteridae. The record is from Rfam by way of RNAcentral.
UACUCUUGGCAGUGGAUCACUUGGCUCGUACAUCAAUGAAAGAUGCAACUAGUUGCGAGAACUAAUGUGAAUUGCAGGACACAUUGAUCAUCAACACUUCAAACACACCUUGCGGCCCUGGGUCUUUCCCAGAGCCCUGCAUGUCUGCGGGUAA